RNAcentral lists this ribosomal RNA (253 nucleotides) under uncultured bacterium. Its description in RNAcentral is "partial 16S ribosomal RNA". It matches the Rfam family "Bacterial small subunit ribosomal RNA", at positions 524 to 776 of the family's 1533-position model. The record is from RNAcentral.
UACGAGGGGGGCAAGCGUUGUUCGGAAUUAUUGGGCGUAAAGGGUGCGUAGGCGGUCUGACGAGUCUGAUGUGAAAUCUAUGGGCUCAACCCAUAGUCUGCAUCGGAAACUGUCGGGCUUGAGUAUGGGAGAGGUGAGUGGAAUUUCCGGUGGAGCGGUGAAAUGCGCAGAGAUCGGAAAGAACACCAACGGCGAAAGCACUCUGCUGGGCCGACACUGACACUGAGAGACGAAAGCUAGGGGAGCGAAUGGG